RNAcentral lists this long non-coding RNA (319 nucleotides) under Homo sapiens (human). RNAcentral's name for it is "non-protein coding lnc-SIRT1-4:1". The record is from RNAcentral. Lineage: Eukaryota; Metazoa; Chordata; Mammalia; Primates; Hominidae.
AUGGCCAGUACAAUGGUAGCAGUUGGACUGACCAUUGCUGCUGCAGGAUUUGCAGGCCAUUAUGUUUUGCAAGCCAUGGAGCACAUGGAGCCUCAAGUAAAGCAAGUUUUUCAAAGUCUAUCAAAAUCUGCCUUCAGUGGUGGCUAUUACUGAGGUGAGUUUGAACCCAAAAUGACAAAACAAGAAGCAGCAUUAAUGCUAGGGGUAAGCCCUACUGCCAAAAAAGGGAAAAUAAGAGAUGCUCAUUGAUAAAUUAUACUCUUAAAUCAUAGCAGCCAAAAUCAGUGAAGCUAGAAAUUUACUAGAAGGUCAAGCUAAA